AUGAGCAGUGGAGUCACCACCGCUCAUGAUCUCUGCUCAUCCUGUCCUGUCUGUGACUGGACAUCAGAAGGACGACGCAGGAAACCACACACGCAUCCCACACACACCUCCUGUCGGCCUCUCACCCAGAUGGACAGACUGUCAACACACACACACACACACACACACACACACACACACACACACACACACACACACACACACACACACACACACACACACAGGACAGACAGACAGACAGACACACACACACACACACACACACACACACACACACACACACACAGACAGACAGACAGACACACACACACACACAGGACAGACACACACACACACAUACACACAGGACAGACAGACAGACAGACAGACACACACACACACACACACAAACACACGCACACGCACACACACACAGGACAGACAGACACACACACACACACACAGGACAGACAGACAGACACACACACACACACACACACACACAGGACAGACACACACACACACACACAUACACACAGGACAGACAGACAGACACACACACACACACACACACACAGGACAGACAGACACACACACACACACAUACACACAGGACAGACACACACACACACACACACACACACACACACACACACACAGGACAGAGAGACACACACACACACACACACACACAGGACAGACAGACACACACACACACACAUACACACAGGACAGACACACACACACACACACACACACACAAACACAGGACAGAGACACACACACACACACACACACACACACACACACACACACACACACACACACACACACACACAGUCUGGGGUCACACCUCCGCCUCGUCUCGGGUUCGGCACCGCUUUCUUGCCGUGUCAGCUCCGGGCCGCAGCAGCUGCUGUCCCGCUGACAGCUGACGAAAGUAUUUGGGAAUUAAAAAUCCGGUGCGCAACAACAGCUGCAGCUGUUCGGGAAGAACUUGGAAAGCGGCGCGGAGAAAGAAGCAACGGACGGAGAUGGAGCGACCGUUCUCACUCACCAGUAGCGGAGAGACUCUGCAUCUUGCACGAACUUCUUGUCCGCUGCUUCGCUGCCGAACCCGUCUUUAUCCUCGGAGGAACUCACAGCGGCGCCUCCAGCGCACAAUGGGGUCAGGGCGGACGAGCCGCGCGCUUCCUCUGUUCCUGUUCACCCACGAUCACAGCUCGCGCCGAGGACUCUUCAUGGUUCCGAACGGACGCCGCGGAUUUUGCUCGGUUCGCUUGCGUGUGGGAUCCAAACAGUGUCGCCGUCCAUGUAGUCGUUCCUCCUCCCUCUCCACAAACACAACUCCUCUGCGCUGCUGGGCGAAAAAAAGAAAAAGAAAAAGCGCGCUCCCGACAGUGCGAGGCGCGCGCACUGCGAGCUCAUUCAUUGAGUGCGAACGCAAAGAAUGAAAGAUGUGUAUUGGACGCUGUUUUUUUAACCUUUCACGCACCAGUUCCAGUGGAACGUGCGCGCGCGCGCGCUCUCGCGCGCCUUGGUUUCUCUCCAUCGUUUCCAGAAGCUGCGGUUUAG
Molecule: long non-coding RNA, 1554 nt
Organism: Betta splendens (Siamese fighting fish)
Lineage: Eukaryota; Metazoa; Chordata; Actinopteri; Anabantiformes; Osphronemidae
Source: Ensembl